Molecule: transfer RNA, 76 nt
Filed under: Petrosaurus mearnsi
Lineage: Eukaryota; Metazoa; Chordata; Lepidosauria; Squamata; Phrynosomatidae
Description: tRNA-Leu
Rfam family: tRNA
About the family: Transfer RNA (tRNA) molecules are approximately 80 nucleotides in length. Their secondary structure includes four short double-helical elements and three loops (D, anti-codon, and T loops).
Source: RNAcentral
GUUAGGGUGGCAGAGUCAGGUUUAAUGCACAAGACCUAAAAUCUUCCCAACAGAAGUUCAAAUCUUCUCCCUAACC